Homo sapiens (human) is the source of this 3846-nucleotide long non-coding RNA. Ensembl annotates it as solute carrier family 6 member 10, pseudogene. Its record names the gene SLC6A10P. The record is from Ensembl. Lineage: Eukaryota; Metazoa; Chordata; Mammalia; Primates; Hominidae.
AAGUCCGGGCAGCGGUUGGCCCCUGGGCACGCGGGGUCGGGGCCGCCCCUGGUCCACCGCUGCUGCUCGGUGGCUGGGCCGUCCGCCUCCACCCCUCUCGCAGUCAUGUGCCUGGCAGGGUGAGGGGCGGGGGCCGGCGAUGCCCGCGAGGCUGCCCCCCAGACUCCUGGGCUGGAAGGAGCGAUUGGCCGCCGAGGUGGGAAAGCAGGCCUGCGCCUUGGGGUCUCCUCGAGGUGUGUUCCUUAUUCCCUGCAUCCUGAUAGCCCUGGUCGGAGGAAUCCCCAUUUUCUUCUUGGAGAUCUCGCUGGGCCAGUUCAUGAAGGCCGGCAGCAUCAAUGUCUGGAACAUCUGUCCCUUGUUCAAAGGUGAGCAGCCCUUGGCCAGCCUCAGGGACUGCCCCCUUUUCCCAGCUGGCUCCCACUUGAGAAAUCUUUUCCUGUCCUGAGCACCAGGCCUGGGGCCACGUGAUGGCAUCCCAGUCUCGAGGGGGGAGCCUGGAGGAGAUGUUCAGGCCGCACAGUGAAUUUGGGGAAGCAGGGACUAGAGGGGGCAUAGGCAGCUCCACAAGGCAAGGACAGGCCAGGCAUAGCCGGGCUGGGGAUGGGACCUGCCCAGCACACUUGGCUCUCUAGGUAGGUCCUACUAUUACUGUCCCCAAGGACGCUGGGGCACAGACAGGUGGAGCGACGUACUGAGGUUGCCCACUACGGGGGCAACUGUCUCCAACACUACCUCAGGCUACUAGAAACUCCCCCCCUCCCCACCACCACCACCACCAGCUGCUGAGGACUGGAGCUACUGGGUGGCCAGGUGGAGGCUUGGACCUCCUGGAACCGCCAUGGUGGCAGUGGGACCCACAGAAGGGGCCAGGUGUGUAAGGCUGGAGACUCAACAGCACUUGGUCAGAUGGGGACAGGAGGAGAGGGGCUCGCUCUGCCUUGGGUCUAGGGGGCGGCUGGAGGAGAGGAGAGAGGCUGGGGAGUCAGCCCAGUGUUGGGGCUCACACAAGGGGGAGUCCAGGGGAGUCAGGAGCACCACAAACAAGGCUCCAGAAGGACAGACGGUGGGAGCACUGCCAGCCUGGGUGGGGAGAUAAAGGGGUGGCAGGGGAGGUGGCCAGGAAAGAAUCUACAUGGCAAGGACUUCCCGGCCCCAGGCCUGGGCUAUGCCUCCAUGGUGAUCGUCUUCUACUGCAACACCUACUACAUCAUGGUGCUGGCCUGGGGCUUCUAUUACCUGGUCAAGUCCUUUAGCACCACGCUGCCCUGGGCCACAUGUGGCCACACCUGGAACACUCCCGACUGUGUGGAGAUCUUCCGCCAUGAAGACUGUGCCAGUGCCAGCCUGGCCAACCUCACUUGUGACCAGCUUGCUGACCGCCAGUCCCCUGUCAUCGAGUUCUGGGAGAACAAAGUCUUGAGGCUGUCUGGGGGACUGGAGGUGCCAGGGGCCCUCAACUGGGAGGUGACCCUUUGUCUGCUGGCCUGCUGGGUGCUGGUCUACUUCUGUGUCUGAAAGGGGGUCAAAUCCAUGGGAAAGGUACCACUAGAGGCAUGCAGGGGGGAGGGUGGCUCAGCCCUGGGAGCUGGAUGUCUGUGCCAGGCACACCCGUAGCAACGGGAGGUGACCAGACAGAGUCUAGCCCUAAGGAAGGGGGAGGUACUGAAAGCCAAGCAACACUCCCCACCCUGCAAAUCCAGGGCCCAGCAGCCUUUGCUCCUGUGGGGAGAGGCCCCAGCAGGCACUGUCCCUUCCCUGUGCCCAUCACCCCCACCGGUGCCCUCCUGCCAGUCUCUGACUCUUGUGACAGUCUGCUGGACCUGGUCUGGCCAUCUGUUACCUGCCUAUCUUGCCUUGGGGACACAGAGCAGAGUCUGGCCACAUCCCUUGGGGGCUCCUGGUCAGGCUGGGGAGUCACCUGAACAAAGAAGACAAUGUCCAGAGCUGUGGGACAUGGCCAGCUCCCUGGGGGACAAGGUCCCCAGAGCAGCAUGUGGGAAGAGGGGGCAGACAGUGUGGCAGCCGCAUCUUGCCUGCCUCUGCCUGGCCCAGUUCCACUCUUCACCUGCUCAGCCCCGACCUCUCUCCAGAAGAGGAGGGGGGCCCGGCCCUGAUCCAAUAUCCCGCUCCCUGCCUGGGCCUCCCAUGCGUGCACUGCCCACACACUCACACAGCUCUCACUCCCCACAUGCUCCAUGCCUCCUGUCCCCACUGAGGAGAGCUCCUAGAGGCUCGCCCGCUCCCCACUGACAUGCAUCCCUGCAGACAAACGAGGCGCCCAGAGAGCUUCCCCACUGCACUUGCCAGGGCUGCCGGGGCCCAGCCUUGCCCCUAGCUUCCUCUGGCGGGAGCUAUGGCUCGGAGGAGAAUGGGGACCUCUGAACAUACCUGCCCGCAAGGGGGACCGGAGGUGCUCGGAGUGGGCUUGUGAGGGAGGUGGUGCCGCAGUCCCCGCUGAGCAGCCUGGCCCCCCAGAUCGUGUACUUCACUGCUACAUUCCCCUACGUGGUCCUGGUCGUGCUGCUUGUGCUUGGAGUGCUGCUGCCUGGCGCCCUGGACAGCAUCAUUUACUAUCUCAAGCCUGACUGGUCAAAGCUGGGGUCCCCUCAGGUGAGGUGGAGGUGGGGAGGCUGCAGCAGGGUGUUGUGGGGGAGCCCUGCAGGCCCCUCAUGCCUGCACUCUCCAGCCCUCCUCUAGGUAUGGAUAGAUGUGGGGACCCAGAUUUUCUUUUCUUAUGCCAUUGGCCUGGGGGCCCUCACAGCCCUGGGCAGCUACAACCGCUUCAACAACAACUGCUACAAGACGCCAUCAUCCUGGCUGUCAUCAACAGUGGGACCAGCUUCUUUGCUGGCUUCGUGGUCUUCUCCAUCCUGGGCUUCAUGGCUGCAGAGCAGGGCAUGCACAUCUCCAAGGUGGCAGAGUCAGGGUGGGAUGUAUGUCUUCCAGCUGUUUGACUACUACUCAGCCAGUGGCACCACCCUGCUCUGGCAGGCCUUUUGGGAGUGCGUGGUGGUGGUCUGGGUGUAUGGAGCUGACCGCUUCACGGACGACAUUGCCUGUAUGAUCGGGUACCGACCUUGCCCCUGGAUGAAAUGGUGCUGGUCCUUCUUCACCCCGCUGGUUUGCAUGGGCAUCUUCAUCUUCAACGUUGUGUACUACAAGCCGCUGGUCUACAAAAACACCAACGUGUACCCGUGGUGGGGUGAGGCCAUGGGCUGGGCCUUCGUGCUGUCCUCCAUGCUGUGCAUGCCACUGCACCUCCUGGGCUGCCUCCUCAGGGCCAAGGGCACCAUGGCUGAGUGCUGGAAGCACCUGACCCAGCCCAUCUGGGGCCUCCACCACUUGGAGUACCGAGCUCAGGAUGCAGAUGUCAGGGGCCUGACCACCCUGACCCCAGUGUCCGAGAGCAGCAAGGUCGUCGUGGUGGAGAGUGUCAUGGGACAGCUCAGCUCACAUCACCAGCUCACCUCUGGUCUGUGGGGCAAGAGGCUGCAAUAUUCCAUCCUGGGUGUCUGGGCUGCUAACCUGGCCUGCUCAGGCUUCCCACCCUGUGCCCUGGGCUGGGCACACCCCCGGGAAGGGACCCCGGACACGGCUCCCACAUCCAGGCUCAAGGCGGAUGCACUUCCUGCACCUCCAGUCUUCUGUGUAGCGGCUUUAACCCACGUAUGUCUGUCACGUCCAGUCCCGAGACGGCUGAGUGACCCCAAGAAAGGCUUCCCUGACACCCGGACAGAGGCUGGAGGGCUGGGGCUGGGUGAGGGUGGUGGGCCUGCGGGGACAUUCUUACUGUGCUAAAAAGCCACUGCAAACAUAGCAAUAAAAACCUGUCAUUUUCCAAAGCAG